This 468-nucleotide ribosomal RNA is filed under the name uncultured bacterium. RNAcentral's name for it is "partial 16S ribosomal RNA". It matches the Rfam family "Bacterial small subunit ribosomal RNA", at positions 28 to 507 of the family's 1533-position model. The record is from RNAcentral.
GACGAACGCUGGCGGCGUGCUUAACACAUGCAAGUCGAAGGGAAAGGCCCUGCUUUUGUGGGGUGCUCGAGUGGCGAACGGGUGAGUAACACGUGAGUAACCUGCCCUUGACUUUGGGAUAACUUCAGGAAACUGGGGCUAAUACCGGAUAGGAGCUCCUGCUGCAUGGUGGGGGUUGGAAAGUUUCGGCGGUUGGGGAUGGACUCGCGGCUUAUCAGCUUGUUGGUGGGGUAGUGGCUUACCAAGGCUUUGACGGGUAGCCGGCCUGAGAGGGUGACCGGCCACAUUGGGACUGAGAUACGGCCCAGAGUACUACGGGAGGCAGCAGUGGGGAAUAUUGCACAAUGGGCGGAAGCCUGAUGCAGCAACGCCGCGUGCGGGAUGACGGCCUUCGGGUUGUAAACCGCUUUAGCCUGUGACGAAGCGUGAGUGACGGUAAUGGGUAAAGAAGCACCGGCUAACUACGUG